Molecule: ribosomal RNA, 443 nt
Filed under: uncultured bacterium
Lineage: Bacteria
Description: partial 16S ribosomal RNA
Rfam family: Bacterial small subunit ribosomal RNA
Source: RNAcentral
CCUACGGGUGGCAGCAGUGGGGAAUAUUGGGCAAUGGGGGCAACCCUGACCCAGCAACGCCGCGUGGGUGAAGAAGGCUUUCGGGUUGUAAACUUCUGUUAUCCGGGACGAAGCAGGUGACGGUACCUGAUGAAUAAGCCACGACUAACUACGUGCCAGCAGCCGCGGUAAUACGUAGGUGGCAAGCAUUAUCCGGAUUUACUGGGUGUAAAGGGGGCGUAGGCGGGAGUGCAAGUCAGAGGUGAAAACCAGGGGCUCAACCAAUAGCCUGCUUUUGAAACGGUGCUUCUUGAGUGCAGGAGAGGCAAUCGGAAUUCCGUGUGUAGCGGUGAAAUGCGUAGAUAUACGGAGGAACACCAGUGGCGAAGGCGGAUUGCUGGACAGUAACUGACGCUGAGGCGCGAAGGCGUGGGGAGCAAACAGGAUUAGAUACCCGGGUAGUC